AAAUUGAAGAGUUUGAUCAUGGCUCAGAUUGAACGCUGGCGGCAGGCCUAACACAUGCAAGUCGAGCGGCAGCGGGAAAGUAGCUUGCUACUUUUGCCGGCGAGCGGCGGACGGGUGAGUAAUGCCUGGGAAAUUGCCCAGUCGAGGGGGAUAACAGUUGGAAACGACUGCUAA
This 174-nucleotide ribosomal RNA is filed under the name Aeromonas hydrophila. RNAcentral describes it as "partial 16S ribosomal RNA". It matches the Rfam family "Bacterial small subunit ribosomal RNA", at positions 1 to 166 of the family's 1533-position model. The record is from RNAcentral. Lineage: Bacteria; Pseudomonadati; Pseudomonadota; Gammaproteobacteria; Aeromonadales; Aeromonadaceae.